Molecule: ribosomal RNA, 700 nt
Filed under: uncultured bacterium
Lineage: Bacteria
Description: bacterial SSU rRNA
Rfam family: Bacterial small subunit ribosomal RNA
Source: RNAcentral
AGUGGCGGACGGGUGAGUAAUACAUCGGAACGUGCCCAGUAGUGGGGGACAACCUCGAGAAAUCGAGGCUAAUACCGCAUACGACCUACGGGUGAAAGCGGGGGACCGCAAGGCCUCGCGCUAUUGGAGCGGCCGAUGUCCGAUUAGCUAGUUGGUAGGGUAAAAGCCUACCAAGGCAACGAUCGGUAGCUGGUCUGAGAGGACGACCAGCCACACUGGGACUGAGACACGGCCCAGACUCCUACAGGAGGCAGCAGUGGGGAAUUUUGGACAAUGGGGGCAACCCUGAUCCAGCCAUGCCGCGUGCGGGAAGAAGGCCUUCGGGUUGUAAACCGCUUUCGGCCGGAACGAAAUCGCCGGGGAGAACAUCUCCGGUGGAUGACGGUACCGGAAGAAGAAGCACCGGCUAACUACGUGCCAGCAGCCGCGGUAAUACGUAGGGUGCGAGCGUUAAUCGGAAUUACUGGGCGUAAAGCGUGCGCAGGUGGUUCGCUAAGACAGAUGUGAAAUCCCCGGGCUCAACCUGGGAACUGCGUUUGUGACUGGCGGGCUAGAGUGCGGAAGAGGGAGGUGGAAUUCCACGUGUAGCAGUGAAAUGCGUAGAGAUGUGGAGGAACACCGAUGGCGAAGGCAGCCUCCUGGUCUAGCACUGACGCUCAUGCACGAAAGCGUGGGAGCAAACAGGAUUAGAUACCCUGGU